GUGCUUACUUCGGCAGCACUUAUAUACUAAAAUUGGAACAAUACAGAGAUUAGCGUGGCCCCUGUGAAAGGAUGAUGAUACACAAAUUCGUGGAGCGUUCCAUAGAUUU
This is a small nuclear RNA of Jaculus jaculus (lesser Egyptian jerboa), 109 nucleotides long. The record is from Ensembl. NCBI's taxonomy places the organism in Eukaryota, Metazoa, Chordata, Mammalia, Rodentia, Dipodidae.